GAUGAACGCUGGCGGCGUGCCUAAUACAUGCAAGUCGAGCGAACGGACGAGAAUCUUGCUUCUCUGAUGUUAGCGGCGGACGGGUGAGUAACACGUGUAUAACCUACCUAUAAGACUGGGAUAACUUCGGGAAACCGGAGCUAAUACCGGAUAAUAUUUUGAACCGCAUGGUUCAAAAGUGAAAGACGGUCUUGCUGUCUCUUAUAGAUGGAUCCGCUCUGCAUUAGCUAGUUGGUAAGGUAACGGCUUACCAAGGCAACGAUGCAUAGCCGACCUGAGAGGGUGAUCGGCCAAACGGGAACUGAGACACGGACAAGAGGCCUACGGGAGGCAGCAGUAGGGAAUGUGCGGAAAUGGGCGAAAGCAUGACGGAGCAAGGCCGCGUGAGUGAUGAAGGUCUUCGGAUCGUAAAACUCUGUUAUUAGGGAAGAACAGAUGUGUAAGUAACUGUGCACAUCUUGACGGUACCUAAUCAGAAAGCAACGGCUAACUACGUG
This 497-nucleotide ribosomal RNA is filed under the name uncultured bacterium. RNAcentral's name for it is "partial 16S ribosomal RNA". It matches the Rfam family "Bacterial small subunit ribosomal RNA", at positions 28 to 507 of the family's 1533-position model. The record is from RNAcentral.